UCAUCUUCGGGGGUAGAGCACUGUUUCGGCUAGGGGGUCAUCCCGACUUACCAACCCGAUGCAAACUACGAAUACCGAAGAAUGUUAUCACGGGAGACACACGGCGGGUGCUAACGUCCGUCGUGAAGAGGGAAACAACCCAGACCGCCAGCUAAGGUCCCAAAGUCAUGGUUAAGUGGGAAACGAUGUGGGAAGGCACAGACAGCCAGGAUGUUGGCUUAGAAGCAGCCAUCAUUUAAAGAAAGCGUAAUAGCUCACUGGUCGAGUCGGCCUGCGCGGAAGAUGUAACGGGGCUAAACCAUGCACCGAAGCUGCGGCAGCGACACUAUGUGUUGUUGGGUAGGGGAGCGUUCUGUAAGCCUGCGAAGGUGUGCUGUGAGGCAUGCUGGAGGUAUCAGAAGUGCGAAUGCUGACAUAAGUAACGAUAAAGCGGGUGAAAAGCCCGCUCGCCGGAAGACCAAGGGUUCCUGUCCAACGUUAAUCGGGGCAGGGUGAGUCGACCCCUAAGGCGAGGCCGAAAGGCGUAGUCGAUGGGAAACAGGUUAAUAUUCCUGUACUUGGUGUUACUGCGAAGGGGGGACGGAGAAGGCUAUGUUAGCCGGGCGACGGUUGUCCCGGUUUAAGCAUGUAGGCUGGUUGUCCAGGCAAAUCCGGAUAAUCAAGGCUGAGGUGUGAUGACGAGGCACUACGGUGCUGAAGUAACAAAUGCCCUGCUUCCAGGAAAAGCCUCUAAGCAUCAGGUAACAUCAAAUCGUACCCCAAACCGACACAGGUGGUCAGGUAGAGAAUACCAAGGCGCUUGAGAGAACUCGGGUGAAGGAACUAGGCAAAAUGGUGCCGUAACUUCGGGAGAAGGCACGCUGGUGUGUAGGUGAAGUCCCUGCGGAUGGAGCUGAGACCAGUCGAAGAUACCAGCUGGCUGCAACUGUUUAUUAAAAACACAGCACUGUGCAAACACGAAAGUGGACGUAUACGGUGUGACGCCUGCCCGGUGCCGGAAGGUUAAUUGAUGGGGUUAUCCGUAAGGAGAAGCUCUUGAUCGAAGCCCCGGUAAACGGCGGCCGUAACUAUAACGGUCCUAAGGUAGCGAAAUUCCUUGUCGGGUAAGUUCCGACCUGCACGAAUGGCGUAAUGAUGGCCAGGCUGUCUCCACCCGAGACUCAGUGAAAUUGAACUCGCUGUGAAGAUGCAGUGUACCCGCGGCAAGACGGAAAGACCCCGUGAACCUUUACUAUAGCUUGACACUGAACAUUGAGCCUUGAUGUGUAGGAUAGGUGGGAGGCUUUGAAGCGUGGACGCCAGUCUGCGUGGAGCCAACCUUGAAAUACCACCCUUUAAUGUUUGAUGUUCUAACGUUGGCCCCUGACCGGGGUUGCGGACAGUGUCUGGUGGGUAGUUUGACUGGGGCGGUCUCCUCCCAAAGCGUAACGGAGGAGCACGAAGGUUAGCUAAUCCUGGUCGGACAUCAGGAGGUUAGUGCAAUGGCAUAAGCUAGCUUGACUGCGAGCGUGACGGCGCGAGCAGGUGCGAAAGCAGGUCAUAGUGAUCCGGUGGUUCUGAAUGGAAGGGCCAUCGCUCAACGGAUAAAAGGUACUCCGGGGAUAACAGGCUGAUACCGCCCAAGAGUUCAUAUCGACGGCGGUGUUUGGCACCUCGAUGUCGGCUCAUCACAUCCUGGGGCUGAAGUAGGUCCCAAGGGUAUGGCUGUUCGCCAUUUAAAGUGGUACGCGAGCUGGGUUUAGAACGUCGUGAGACAGUUCGGUCCCUAUCUGCCGUGGGCGCUGGAGAAUUGAGGGGGGCUGCUCCUAGUACGAGAGGACCGGAGUGGACGCAUCACUGGUGUUCGGGUUGUCAUGCCAAUGGCACUGCCCGGUAGCUAAAUGCGGAAGAGAUAAGUGCUGAAAGCAUCUAAGCACGAAACUUGCCCCGAGAUGAGUUCUCCCUGAGACUUUAAGUCUCCUGAAGGAACGUUAAAGACGAUGACGUUGAUAGGCCGGGUGUGUAAGCGCAGCGAUGCGUUGAGCUAACCGGUACUAAUGAACCGUGAGGCUUAACCUU
This 2058-nucleotide ribosomal RNA is filed under the name Klebsiella pneumoniae. RNAcentral's name for it is "partial 23S ribosomal RNA". It matches the Rfam family "Bacterial large subunit ribosomal RNA", at positions 890 to 2925 of the family's 2925-position model. The record is from RNAcentral. Lineage: Bacteria; Pseudomonadati; Pseudomonadota; Gammaproteobacteria; Enterobacterales; Enterobacteriaceae.